GUCCACGCCCUAAACGAUGUCGACUGGUUGUUGGUGGGGUUAAACCCAUUAGUAACGAAGCUAACGCGUGAAGUCGACCGCCUGGGGAGUACGGCCGCAAGGUUAAAACUCAAAGGAAUUGACGGGGACCCGCACAAGCGGUGGAUGAUGUGGAUUAAUUCGAUGCAACGCGAAGAACCUUACCUACCCUUGACAUGUACGGAAGCCUGCUGAGAGGUGGGCGUGCCCGAAAGGGAGCCGUAACACAGGUGCUGCAUGGCUGUCGU
RNAcentral lists this ribosomal RNA (266 nucleotides) under uncultured bacterium. Its description in RNAcentral is "partial 16S ribosomal RNA". It matches the Rfam family "Bacterial small subunit ribosomal RNA", at positions 793 to 1055 of the family's 1533-position model. The record is from RNAcentral.